RNAcentral lists this ribosomal RNA (253 nucleotides) under uncultured bacterium. RNAcentral's name for it is "partial 16S ribosomal RNA". It matches the Rfam family "Bacterial small subunit ribosomal RNA", at positions 524 to 776 of the family's 1533-position model. The record is from RNAcentral.
UACGAAGGGGGCUAGCGUUGCUCGGAAUCACUGGGCGUAAAGCGCACGUAGGCGGCUUUUUAAGUCAGGGGUGAAAUCCUGGAGCCCAACUCCAGAACUGCCUUUGAUACUGAGAAGCUUGAGUCCGGGAGAGGUGAGUGGAACUGCGAGUGUAGAGGUGAAAUUCGUAGAUAUUCGCAAGAACACCAGUGGCGAAGGCGGCUCACUGGCCCGGUACUGACGCUGAGAUGCGAAAGCGUGGGGAGCAAACAGG